This is a long non-coding RNA of Zootermopsis nevadensis, 1191 nucleotides long. RefSeq lists it as uncharacterized. The record is from RefSeq and is a predicted model, not a curated record. Lineage: Eukaryota; Metazoa; Arthropoda; Insecta; Blattodea; Termopsidae.
CUUGCAUAAAUUAAUUUCCAUGUGCAGUAGAAGAAACUAUUUUGUUUCCAAUGGUGUCAUAACACUUCGUGGCUGUUUUUCUUCUCAUGUUUUAUUUGCACAACCUUUAUGUGCACAUAGGUUAUUGUCCAUGUCCACUUUUGCUGCAGGUUGCGGAAAGAAGAUUGGCGUUUGAUUUCUUGAACAUUGCAAAUCAGGACGAAUAAUAAAUAAGUCAUGGCUUAUUUACUAUGUCGACAUUCUGAGGUAGCCAAGAGAAACUCAAAACACUUUGCGAUUCUGGGACCACAGACCUAACCUGCUCUAAGCACAUGCAUUUGUAUUCGGAUUCCUACUGUGUAUUAACUAACCAAUUCUUGUGAUGUCUGUAAUGACAUUAAGAGACGGUGGUUUUCAGGAGUUGGAUAUUGCAAAUUAACAAUCCUGGAUUCCACAGUACUGUGGAGCAUUAAUAUUACUACCUUUACAUUAGGGUAACUUAGUUAAAAUCAGGAAAGAACGGAACUUGAAUGUUAUGACUGAUGAGAGGUGUUAUACAUGAUGAUGGAGCACUUGUCAAAGUAAAACCUACUACAGAAGAUAAAGGUGAAGCAUUUAAUCUACACAAUGAGAAGAUAUUUCAUAUUUACCUUUUUAUAUGCAUUGACAUACUGGGUAAUGAAGUAUGGAGAAUUAAAACAUACACUGUAUUCACAUCCAGGAGAGUUAAUGUAGAAUUUGAAAUGGGAAAGUAGCACAAUGGAACAAGUUUCUUCCAAAGUUAUUUAGACCCCCCCCAUAUCAUUCCAUCAUUACUACAUAUUCACUUGAUGUACCAUUUGGAGCUUGGAUGAGCCUGUUAACAGCUGCAGUGACAUAGCCUCUCCCACCUUUCCAACAAGAACUAGGGCAGAAAGACCAGAGAUUGGCAGACCAAGGCAAAGAUGGAGCUGAAGUUCAGAACAGAUUAUGAACCUAAUCCCUGAAGAGAGAUUAUGAAGACCAGAUGAAGUUCAAAUGCUCUUACACUGUACAAGCAAAUGUCUGUCACCCUGAGUAAUGUUACCACAGCACACUGUUCUUCCUCUGCCAAGAUUCACUGCUGUCCUUCAAGGAUUACAUUCAUCCUUAAUAUAAACCAAGAGAACGAUGUGAAAAGAAGAGUGGCUGUAGAACAAGAACACCAUUCUCUGCAAGAAAAACUUAUGAAUG